CCAGAAUAUCUUUUUUUAAUGGCAUUGUACAUGUUGUAAAUCACAAAGAACAGGUCUUAAAUAAACUCUUAAUGUACAGCUGGUAUAUGUCAAUAAAAAUCUACUUUCUUUUCUCCCCUACCGACUGGUUCUAAAACACUUUUUAUACAGGUUAAUAGAAACGCUAAAUAAACAUAGUCAUUUUUCUUCAAGUAUAUUUUAUCCUCUUAUGCAUUUCUAUAGAUGUUUCCUCAUCUUUACAGUUAGAAAAACUGUACAUAAAAUGACCCAAAAAACAGCAAUCAACACAUUGCUUUUUUUUUAAUACGCAUUUUACAUCCAGCUGGCAAUUUAGCUUACUGUGGUACAAGUCAAACGUGUCCCCUUAGCCCGAAGAUAUUGUGGUGUUAGCAGCCAUACUGGGGCCGUACUGAAAGCAUCAAAAACCCCACAGACAGAGGCUACGUCCACAAAUGGCACCCUAUUCCCUACACAGUGCGCUACUUUUUGAACAGGCUCCAUAGGGCUCAGGGUCAAAAGUAGUGCACUACAUAGGGAAUAGGGUGCCAUUUCGGAGCAUACACACAGAGACAAACGUGCCACAGAUGUCCCGUGACAUCAAGGCCAUUUCCGGGGUUGUCAUGGAGAUAUCCUGAAGACACACAGUCGUAUGUCUGUCUGUGGAUUGGGUAUAUUAUAUACACCAGUCAAAAUAUAUAUCUUUCCCCAUGUUAACAUUGUAAACUUGGUGGGUCAUACCUUCAGACUUGGCACAUAAAGAGAAUGAAAGUUAACGAUUGUAAAAGGUGGCAAUAGAUUCCUGAAAUGAAAUCAGAAUGCAGUCGCUAAAUGACUGAUGUUAGCACUGUUUUUUUAAUAACAAAUCAUCUCACCCUAGUGUGAACUUGAGGGGCAACUCGAAAUUUUAAAACAUGUCAAACAAGUUUCAGACCACGUUUCCAAAACAGAACAGAUUUCUGGCAGGUUAAAGCUUGCUACAAUAUCAUCUAACAUUCACCUUGGUGAUUUAGUUUCUGCAUGAACUCAUAUCACACAAGCAAGGCUUCCACAGCUCUGCUCCUACUGAGGCAAGAGAGUGAUGGGUCGUUUCCCAAAUGGCCCCCUAUAUAUUCCCUACAUACUGUAGUGUACUACAGUCUAAAGUAGUGCACUAUAAACGGAAUAGGGUUCUAUUUGGGACGGACCCAUGACGAGGUGAUCUCAUAGCAUUUUAAUAAUCUAAUUGAAUUAAAUUGAAUUUCAGCUAUAUCAUAGAAUGCGUGUGAACAGAUUUAAUGUACGUGGACAAACCCUCAUUUCCUGGUUAUGAAAACGUUGUGGACACUUCAUAACAGGGAGUCUUAGUUAAAACAACAAACGUCCUGGGCCCUACAAACUAACACUGUGUUAAGCUGGUACUUUUCAUCCACAAGUCCCAUUUCGUCAACUCAAUACUUGUCAGUUACUCCAACUCAAAACACCCUUCUUUCCAAUACCAAGAGUCCACUGGACUCAACUCUUUCCUGUUGGUCUCUAUACAUGUAUUCAUCCCCCUUGUAUUGAGCCAACUGAAGCUUCACUCCCACAGUCUGUCUAGGAGGAGAAGGUAUGCUCAGUUUGACAGUUUAUGGACCACAGCAGACGGUGUGCUUCGGUGCCAGAGAGAGGAUGGGGUUCACCCUGGGUUUGGAUAGGACUCUCCUCUGUGAAGUGCUGUGAUGACACCAGAUGCCUGGUGCUGUUGCCAUGCUAACCCAGGCCAGACACGGGCCAGAUGCUACCUAGGUCAGGCCAACCCAAACUCACACAGAACACAGGGUGCUCAUCUGUUGCACCUUGCUCAGGUCUGUGAGGAGCUGCUUGAUGCGGUGUUUGAGCUGAGGCAGUCUGGCCAAGGGGUCCGGAGGCUCCAACUCCCAGUGAAGUCCAGCCAGCUCUCCAACACUGAGGGACGCAGAGAGAGAGAGACGGUUAGGAUCUAAUAAGGUAAGAACGAGUUCCUCCUUCAAUUACAAUCGGGUC
Oncorhynchus tshawytscha (Chinook salmon) is the source of this 2001-nucleotide long non-coding RNA. The record is from Ensembl. NCBI's taxonomy places the organism in Eukaryota, Metazoa, Chordata, Actinopteri, Salmoniformes, Salmonidae.